This 508-nucleotide ribosomal RNA is filed under the name Paratemnopteryx couloniana. Its description in RNAcentral is "eukaryotic LSU rRNA". It matches the Rfam family "Eukaryotic large subunit ribosomal RNA", at positions 670 to 1139 of the family's 3401-position model. Lineage: Eukaryota; Metazoa; Arthropoda; Insecta; Blattodea; Blattellidae. The record is from RNAcentral.
GGAGUCUAACAUGUGCGCGAGUCAUUGGGCUGACUAAACCCAAAGGCGCAAUGAAAGUGACAAGCGAUUGAGUUCGCUGUUUUGGGAAGAUGGCAGGAGUGAUGAUUCCUCGCCCGCACUCCCGGGGCGCCUCGGCCUUCGGUCGAAGGCGCACCCAGAGCGUACACGUUGGGACCCGAAAGAUGGUGAACUAUGCCUGGCCAGGACGAAGUCAGGGGAAACCCUGCUGGAGGUCCGCAGCGAUUCUGACGUGCAAAUCGAUCGUCAGAGCUUGGUAUAGGGGCGAAAGACCAAUCGAACCAUCUAGUAGCUGGUUCCCUCCGAAGUUUCCCUCAGGAUAGCUGGCGUCCGUUUUGUAACGGAUCGAGUCUCAUUCGGUAAAGCGAAUGAUUAGAGGCCUUGGGGCCGAAACGACCUCAACCUAUUCUCAAACUUUAAAUGAGUGAGGCGUGCGGCUUGCUUGAUCGAAGCCGCGAGAUGGAUCAGGAUGCCAAGUGGGCCAUUUUUG